GUUUUCGCCUGUGCCUGUGUGGGUACCUCCCUCUCCACUUCAACCUUCCCCAUGCUGACACCCGCAUGUUACCGGACCCACGACACCUGCCAAAAUGGCUCCUUUUUCUCCCUGUCUCCUUUGGCUUCAUGACAACUUUAUAUUACCCUUGUUCACUGCUGGGUCCCCAGUGCCUAGAACUGACAACCAGGCUUUCUGUGUGUGUGUGUGCGUGUGUGUGUGCGCAUGUGUGUGCAUGCGGGCUCACACGCAUGAGUGCACACAGGGGUGUGUGUGUGUGUGUAGUGUGUUUGUGUGUGUGUGUAGUGUGUAGUGUGUUUGUGAAUGAAUUAAACUGAAUUGAAAGCAGUUCAGGGAAGUCAGAUGAGGGAUCUCUGGGGAUUGUGAAUAUGAAAAUGCUGUGGUUA
Molecule: long non-coding RNA, 407 nt
Filed under: Marmota monax (woodchuck)
Lineage: Eukaryota; Metazoa; Chordata; Mammalia; Rodentia; Sciuridae
Source: RNAcentral